GAUGAACGCUGGCGGCGUGCCUAAUACAUGCAAGUAGAACGCUGAAGGAGGAGCUUGCUCUUCUGGAUGAGUUGCGAACGGGUGAGUCACGCGUAGGUAACCUGCCUGGUAGCGGGGGAUAACUAUUGGAAACGAUAGCUAAUACCGCAUGACAACAGUUAUUGCAUGAUAACUGUUUAAAAGGGGCAACUGCUCCACUACCAGAUGGACCUGCGUUGUAUUAGCUAGUUGGUGAGGUAACGGCUCACCAAGGCGACGAUACAUAGCCGACCUGAGAGAGUGAGCGGCCACACUGGGAGUGAGACACGGCCCAGACUCCUACGGGAGGCAGCAGUAGGGAAUCUUCGGCAAUGGACGGAAGUCUGACCGAGCAACGCCGCGUGAGUGAAGAAGGUUUUCGGAUCGUAAAGCGCUGUUGUAAGAGAAGAACGAGUGUGAGAGUGGAAAGUUCACACUGUGACGGUAGCUUACCAGAAAGGGACGGCUAACUACGUG
This 495-nucleotide ribosomal RNA is filed under the name uncultured bacterium. RNAcentral describes it as "partial 16S ribosomal RNA". It matches the Rfam family "Bacterial small subunit ribosomal RNA", at positions 28 to 507 of the family's 1533-position model. The record is from RNAcentral.